Molecule: transfer-messenger RNA, 345 nt
Filed under: Sphingomonadaceae bacterium
Lineage: Bacteria; Pseudomonadati; Pseudomonadota; Alphaproteobacteria; Sphingomonadales; Sphingomonadaceae
Rfam family: Alphaproteobacteria transfer-messenger RNA
About the family: Bacterial tmRNA, also known as 10Sa RNA or SsrA, is named for its dual tRNA and mRNA-like properties.
Source: RNAcentral
ACACUUUUCAUUCACCGCCAGAUGCUUAUAUUGGACUUUGCCGGACUCGUCCGGAGAUGGCGAUGAACGAUGCCGUAAAAUAGAUGCAGCGGACCCGGGGGCAGUACCCGGCGGCUCCACCAAAAUUCCCGUCGCGCGGCGGGGAUCCUGACGGGGCCGAACCAGGAUCGACGUGUAUUGAAAGACGGUGUUUUUGCCCGGCCUGAAUGCGCCGCUAAACCGUUCACAACCACAAGUGCCAACGAUAACGAGGCGCUCGCGAUUGCUGCGUAACGAGGCCCUAACGGGUUGAGUUACAAAGCUUAAGCGCGGUUCGGGCCGAACCGGGCAACAGAAUCGGACACC